This 378-nucleotide ribosomal RNA is filed under the name Triticum aestivum (bread wheat). RNAcentral's name for it is "partial small subunit ribosomal RNA". The record is from RNAcentral. Lineage: Eukaryota; Viridiplantae; Streptophyta; Magnoliopsida; Poales; Poaceae.
AUGCCCCUCUCUGAAUUUUGUGAUGUUUGCAAGUUGCCUUUUCCGGGCAGCAUAGAGGAACCACAUCGUGACGAUGUGGAGGGGUUUAUUGAUACAAUUGCUGUAGGGGAAACUAGGAAAGUUUCCGAUGCAAGAAUCACUAGCAUACAUUUUCCUGUAUUACGUUACUUUGCAUUAUUUGCUAGUAGAUGCUUAAUUGGUCGCGGAAACUAUGGCAACCUAAGUGCCCCUGACAUUGUUAUUUUGUGCCAUGCCUUGUUUCAUGAUGACUCAUUCAGUAUGGGCACUAUUGUUGCAAAGCGGUUAAAUCUUAACCGUACUAAGGGCCCCAUGCAUCUUGGGAGGCAUCUUCGCCUCGCGCCUCGCUGCAUACUUUAA